This 77-nucleotide transfer RNA is filed under the name Chitinophaga agri. RNAcentral describes it as "Chitinophaga sp. H33E-04 tRNA-Lys". It matches the Rfam family "tRNA". From Rfam's summary of the family: Transfer RNA (tRNA) molecules are approximately 80 nucleotides in length. Lineage: Bacteria; Pseudomonadati; Bacteroidota; Chitinophagia; Chitinophagales; Chitinophagaceae. The record is from RNAcentral.
GACUCCUUAGCUCAGCUGGUUAGAGCUACUGACUCUUAAUCAGUAGGUCCAGGGUUCGAGUCCCUGAGGGGUCACCA